CAGUCGCCGCGGGAAUACGUAGGGCGCAAGCGUUAUCCGGAAUUAUUGGGCGUAAAGAGCUCGUAGGCGGUUUGUCGCGUCUGCCGUGAAAGUCCGGGGCUCAACCCCGGAUCUGCGGUGGGUACGGGCAGACUAGAGUGAUGUAGGGGAGACUGGAAUUCCUGGUGUAGCGGUGAAAUGCGCAGAUAUCAGGAGGAACACCGAUGGCGAAGGCAGGUCUCUGGGCAUUAACUGACGCUGAGGAGCGAAAGCAUCGGGAGCGAACAGGAUUAGAUACCCCUGUAGUCCCUGUCUCUUAUAC
Molecule: ribosomal RNA, 301 nt
Filed under: uncultured bacterium
Lineage: Bacteria
Description: partial 16S ribosomal RNA
Rfam family: Bacterial small subunit ribosomal RNA
Source: RNAcentral